RNAcentral lists this ribosomal RNA (468 nucleotides) under uncultured bacterium. RNAcentral describes it as "partial 16S ribosomal RNA". It matches the Rfam family "Bacterial small subunit ribosomal RNA", at positions 28 to 507 of the family's 1533-position model. The record is from RNAcentral.
GACGAACGCUGGCGGCGUGCUUAACACAUGCAAGUCGAACGGAAAGGCCCUGCUUUUGUGGGGUGCUCGAGUGGCGAACGGGUGAGUAACACGUGAGUAACCUGCCCUUGACUUUGGGAUAACUUCAGGAAACUGGGGCUAAUACCGGAUAGGAGCUCCUGCUGCAUGGUGGGGGUUGGAAAGUUUCGGCGGUUGGGGAUGGACUCGCGACUUAUCAGCUUGUUGGUGGGGUAGUGGCUUACCAAGGCUUUGACGGGUAGCCGGCCUGAGAGGGUGACCGGCCACAUUGGGACUGAGGGAGGGCCCAGACGCCUACGGGAGGCAGCAGUGGGGAAUAUUGCACAAUGGGCGGAAGCCUGAUGCAGCAACGCCGCGUGCGGGAUGACGGCCUUCGGGUUGUAAACCGCUUUCGCCUGUGACGAAGCGUGAGUGACGGUAAUGGGUAAAGAAGCACCGGCUAACUACGUG